Molecule: transfer RNA, 68 nt
Filed under: Algyroides marchi
Lineage: Eukaryota; Metazoa; Chordata; Lepidosauria; Squamata; Lacertidae
Description: tRNA-His
Rfam family: tRNA
About the family: Transfer RNA (tRNA) molecules are approximately 80 nucleotides in length. Their secondary structure includes four short double-helical elements and three loops (D, anti-codon, and T loops).
Source: RNAcentral
GUAAAUAUAGUUUAUUAAAACACUAGACUGUGACUCUAGAAAUAGAAGCUAUUGACUUCUUAUUUACC